Epinephelus lanceolatus (giant grouper) is the source of this 412-nucleotide long non-coding RNA. RefSeq lists it as uncharacterized. The record is from RefSeq and is a predicted model, not a curated record. Lineage: Eukaryota; Metazoa; Chordata; Actinopteri; Perciformes; Serranidae.
UCCAGGUGCUGCAGAGAGCUGAACACUUUGAGGGCUUCAUCCUGCAGCGUUGUGUAGCUUCUGUUUCUCGGAGCUGAGCAGAGCAGAGGGAGGAGGGUAGCGGCAGCAGUGGCGAGUGCAGCGGAUGGUGGCUGUAGCGAAGGAUGGGGUUCCUCUUGUAGAUCUGUUCCACCACCUCUGAGUUCAGACAGUUCUCCUGCAGAGAGCAGAGGGGUCUGACUUUAAUACAACGCUCUGCUGAUGAUCUGAGGUUUGGAGACCGGUUGCUCUAAACACUAUGUUUUAUCCUUAGCUGCUGGUGAGAACUACGACGACAUGGAGCUUCUACACAGGUCUCCUACCUUGAUGUCCUGGAUGAGCUGCUGGGUCGGCGUGUCGAUUGGAGCUUUGGUGUCGAUGACGUUCUGGAUGG